RNAcentral lists this ribosomal RNA (75 nucleotides) under Bacteroides fragilis str. 3986 N3. Its description in RNAcentral is "partial 16S ribosomal RNA". It matches the Rfam family "Bacterial large subunit ribosomal RNA", at positions 2248 to 2322 of the family's 2925-position model. The record is from RNAcentral. Lineage: Bacteria; Pseudomonadati; Bacteroidota; Bacteroidia; Bacteroidales; Bacteroidaceae.
AGGACACUGUUUGGUGGGUAGUUUGACUGGGGUGGUCGCCUCCAAAAGCGUAACGGAGGCUUCUAAAGGUGCCCU